AACUGGGCAUGUGCUGGGGAUUUAGCUCAGUGGUUCCACCACCUGCUUCCCAAGCACAAGGUCCUGAGUUUAAUCCCUGGUACCAAAAUAAACAAAAAAACAAAAGAACAAAAAAAAAAAAACCUGGGCAGAACCCUUGAGGAAAGCGAAAGUUUAACAUUUAUGUAAGGCAAGAAAAGAAGAGCGAAAGAAGUGCUUAAGAAGAAAAAGUGCUCUGAAAAAAGUGUUCUACAGAUCCAUGUAGGAGAGUGUUGACUCAUGGAGAUAAUUUAUGAGCGAUUUAUUGAAAAUCCCUAUGAGGAACUGUGCAAGUCCAGAUCUCCUAGGAAAUUGACGAAGUCCGAGCUUUCUGAUCUACCUCAAGUUAAAGACACCACGCAGUGGAUCCGCCAGCCAUUCCUUUGGGACUUUGCUCUUGGACUUAUUAUCACCUUUUUGUGGAAACUCUCCAUUAGAUCUACAAGACCAUCCUUGAAAACUGCCCUAACCUAGAGUAUUGUGUGAAUCAUCACUAACAGGGAUAAAGGACAGUAUGGGCCAGUUACAUUAUGUUUUCUGUUACUUCUCACAUCUGGACAACUCCUAGGGCCAUCCUAAAAUCUAAGUUAAACGAGUCAGUGUUAACAUUCAGGGUACAGUAAAGAAGUCAACACCUGUCGCUUUUUCUUCCAUCAGGUUGAGUGUGCUCAUCAACUGGCUGGAUGUCCCCUUCAGUGACAACCUUUUGUACAGUCAAUUACAAAGCACCAGGAACAGCAUAAAUUUGAUUAAUUAUCUUAGUCCUCUCAGCAACCCUAUAAAGAAAUUAUUAUUGCCAAUUUGGAGAUAAGGAAACGAGAGUUUAGAAAGUAAAGGGUUGUCCAUUUUUUUAAAAAAAUCACACACUUCUAUGAAUCCAUUGCACUUCCACUGGUCAGCAUAAAG
This 924-nucleotide long non-coding RNA is filed under the name Fukomys damarensis (Damara mole-rat). RNAcentral's name for it is "lncRNA (ENSFDAG00000025925.1)". Lineage: Eukaryota; Metazoa; Chordata; Mammalia; Rodentia; Bathyergidae. The record is from RNAcentral.